This 240-nucleotide unclassified non-coding RNA is filed under the name soil metagenome. Its description in RNAcentral is "partial contains 5.8S ribosomal RNA, internal transcribed spacer 2, and large subunit ribosomal RNA". The record is from RNAcentral.
AACGGUCUAUACCUGCGGUACCUGCGGAAGGAUCAUUAUAGAGUGGUAAACCUCCCGUAAAAAGGGGGGGACCUCCCGUCCUUUGCAGGCUCUUUUUUAAGGGGCUUUUUUGACUUUCUGCUUCGGUGGGGUUAUCCUACCGGAACAACUUCAAAACUCUGAAUCAAAAAAAUCGUUCUGUCCGAGGGCUUUUUUAUAAAAUAAAAAAAAACUUUUAACAAUGGAUCUCUAGAUCGGAAG